CUACUAUUGAAGCUGAAACUCAAGAAGUAUAAUGCUGAAUUCCCAAAUUCAAGCAUUUCUGUAUCUUCUUACACUCAUAUUGCGGAUCUUAUGGAUGAAUUUAACAAAGUUGGAGAGACAAGUGAAUAUGUUGCGGAUAAGGAUUCUCAGUAUGUAAUAGUUGAUGAAGAGUUGACUGAGGGCAGUGUUGUCCCCGAGUCAGUACCAUGUGUUACUAAUGCCAGUAUUGAUUUUGAGUCUGUGACAUGUUUCUGAGCCCAAU
Molecule: long non-coding RNA, 262 nt
Organism: Neltuma alba
Lineage: Eukaryota; Viridiplantae; Streptophyta; Magnoliopsida; Fabales; Fabaceae
Exons: 3
Source: RefSeq, a predicted model, not a curated record